GCCGGGUGUGGUGGCUCACGCUUGUAAUCCCAACACUUUGGGAGGCUGAGGCGGGUGGAUCACCUGAGGUCAGGAGUUCGAGACCAGCCUGGCCAACAUGGUGAAACCCCGUCUCUA
This 117-nucleotide non-coding RNA is filed under the name Nomascus leucogenys (northern white-cheeked gibbon). Lineage: Eukaryota; Metazoa; Chordata; Mammalia; Primates; Hylobatidae. The record is from Rfam by way of RNAcentral.